UACGUAGGUGGCGAGCGUUAUCCGGAAUUACUGGGUGUAAAGGGUGUGUAGGCGGGUUUGCAAGUCAGAUGUGAAAGGCUACGGCUCAACUGUAGCAUUGCAUCAGAAACUGCAGAUCUUGAGAGUGGGAGAGGUAAGCGGAAUUCCUGGUGUAGCGGUGAAAUGCGUAGAUAUCAGGAGGAACACCGGUGGCGAAGGCGGCUUACUGGACCAUCACUGACGCUGAUACACGAAAGCGUGGGGAGCAAAC
This 250-nucleotide ribosomal RNA is filed under the name uncultured bacterium. Its description in RNAcentral is "partial 16S ribosomal RNA". It matches the Rfam family "Bacterial small subunit ribosomal RNA", at positions 524 to 773 of the family's 1533-position model. The record is from RNAcentral.